CUUGUCUACACGGGGAAGUUAGUGCGCGGUAAGCUAGGGUGUGAGUUUGCAGCACGCUAGCUGCUCUGCACUAACUCCCCCUGUGGAUGCUGAG
RNAcentral lists this microRNA precursor (94 nucleotides) under Columba livia (rock pigeon). RNAcentral describes it as "microRNA cli-mir-1552 precursor". Lineage: Eukaryota; Metazoa; Chordata; Aves; Columbiformes; Columbidae. The record is from miRBase by way of RNAcentral.